This 745-nucleotide ribosomal RNA is filed under the name uncultured bacterium. Its description in RNAcentral is "bacterial SSU rRNA". It matches the Rfam family "Bacterial small subunit ribosomal RNA", at positions 33 to 773 of the family's 1533-position model. The record is from RNAcentral.
ACGCUGGCGGCAGGCCUAACACAUGCAAGUCGAGCGGUAGAGAGAAGCUUGCUUCUCUUGAGAGCGGCGGACGGGUGAGUAAUGCCUAGGAAUCUGUCUGGUAGUGGGGGAUAACGUUCGGAAACGGACGCUAAUACCGCAUACGUCCUACGGGAGAAAGCAGGGGACCUUCGGGCCUUGCGCUAUCAGAUGAGCCUAGGUCGGAUUAGCUAGUUGGUGAGGUAAUGGCUCACCAAGGCGACGAUCCGUAACUGGUCUGAGAGGAUGAUCAGUCACACUGGAACUGAGACACGGUCCAGACUCCUACGGGAGGCAGCAGUGGGGAAUAUUGGACAAUGGGCGAAAGCCUGAUCCAGCCAUGCCGCGUGUGUGAAGAAGGUCUUCGGAUUGUAAAGCACUUUAAGUUGGGAGGAAGGGCAGUUACCUAAUACGUGAUUGUUUUGACGUUACCGACAGAGUGAGCACCGGCUAACUCUGUGCCAGCAGCCGCGGUAAUACAGAGGGUGCAAGCGUUAAUCGGAAUUACUGGGCGUAAAGCGCGCGUAGGUGGUUAGUUAAGUUGGAUGUGAAAUCCCCGGGCUCAACCUGGGAACUGCAUUCAAAACUGACUGACUAGAGUAUGGUAGAGGGUGGUGGAAUUUCCUGUGUAGCGGUGAAAUGCGUAGAUGUAGGAAGGAACACCAGUGGCGAAGGCGACCACCUGGACUGAUACUGACACUGAGGUGCGAAAGCGUGGGGAGCAAAC